ACAGAGCUUCCCAUUUUUAGCAGGUCAUCCCAUGAUGCACCGCGCCGUCAACGGCUUCAGUCAUUCAAGUAACGUUAGCUCAGAUCUGGUGCUUGUGAGAGCGUCUGUUCUUGUUAGGCCAUCUGGGUUCGGGUAACCUGUGUCCUGAAUCGGACCGGACCCUGAACGGGGGCUUAACUCUCUCAUUUCGAGGUGAACUUCCCCGGAAUUACCGGCCGGUGACGGGAAGCGAGCGUUUGGGCGGCAGAAGCGGUGCUGUCAGCGAUAUAACAACAGAAAGCGUUCACUAUACAAAUAUAAACCGACGGCGGGCAGAACUGUGGGAAUUUGCUAAUACUUUAAAAGCAACUUGAUGGCUUUAGAGACCGGAAGAAACGAACUGGGUGCGAUGGGAGAUUCGCUGCAGCCGCAGACCCCCAGUCGCCACGAGAAAAGUCUUGGGCUCCUCACGACUAAAUGUGUGACUCUGCGAAGGACGGAGUGCUGGAUCUGAAAGCUAGUUGUAGACGCUCGUCUCUCAAAAUGCCGCAGCAAAAGGAUAUAGUAAAGAUUGCCAUUCAGAUGCCGGGCGCAUACAAGUGGAACAGAGUAGUGACAUAAAUAGCAUUCGUCUCAGUGAGCUGAAGGAACGUCUGAAGCCGGAGCUUCUGGAACUCAUCAGACAGCAGAGACUAAACCGUCUGUGUCACGGGACGCGAGGCAAGACAAGCUGUGGUAUUGUCGUCUCUCUCCUAAUCUCAAAGUCCUGCACUACGGAGAUGUGGAUGAGGAGACGGAAACGCCCUCCAUCGAGGCUCUUCAUGAAAAGAGUAAGUGCACUCACACAUAAUGUGUUAAAUUUUAACACAUGUGCUGAAUCAGCUCAGGGACAACACAUAUUGUGUAAAAUUUGACACAUCUGUUCUAAGAGUUUGAAAA
This is a non-coding RNA of Pimephales promelas (fathead minnow), 918 nucleotides long. Lineage: Eukaryota; Metazoa; Chordata; Actinopteri; Cypriniformes; Leuciscidae. The record is from RefSeq and is a predicted model, not a curated record.